RNAcentral lists this long non-coding RNA (1344 nucleotides) under Homo sapiens (human). RNAcentral describes it as "PREDICTED lncRNA (TCONS_00163804)". Lineage: Eukaryota; Metazoa; Chordata; Mammalia; Primates; Hominidae. The record is from RNAcentral.
GGCACUUGCAACUUUAUUGCGCCAGCAAGAACAUGCAUACAGCCCAGUCUAACGUACAGGAUCAAAAAGAGACCUUAUUUCGGCUGGCAAUUACCUUACCCGCUUGUUCAUUAUCUGACUCCUGCACUCCUCCCAAGUGUUCAAUGUUAACCAGAUGGCAAAGUUAACCAGACAGAGGAAAUCCACAUAAUUACUCUAGAUGAAGCCCCCUAACUGCGGAUUAGAAGGAAAAGAGAUGAAGGGUGCUGCACUAAUAAUAACAACCAUUUUCAACCAAGGCAGGAUUCUGGGCCUAGAAUCUUCAGUGACAAAUUACCAGGAGAGGAGGAGGGAAAUGAAGAGCUGGAGGCCUAGGGAGAUGGUGUGAGGAGAGGAGACUGUGCCUUUCCACUUCUUAAUAAUUAAUGUUCUCCUGCUGCUCUGAGUCUGCAUCACCAGUGAUUCAGUUUGAGUCAGACAUCCAACAACAACUGAGCAAAAGAAUCAUCUCAGAUCCAAGCAAUGGUGACGCGCAGAUAGAAGAGACUGAGGCCAACGACCAAAGCAAAGGACAGCAGAACUGACUGACACAGCUCAGAAAAUAUCCAAAGCUCUGGUCUUGCUCUGUCACCCACACUGGAGUGCAAUGCCACCAUCUUGGCUCACUGCAGCCUUGACCUCCUUGGGCUCAAGUGAUCCUCCUGCUUCAGCCUACCAUGUAGCUGGGACUACAGGUAUGCUCUGGAAAGGAAGACAAGAAAUGCUAAAGACUCUGGAUAUUGCUCUGUUUCUAUAAGGUCCCACCCAUAUACCAUCUCUUCUUUUGGAUUUCCUUUGGCAGGGUUCCCUUGUAUGGAAGUUCUCAGGAGAACAACACUCUCAGAGUCCCACUGUCUCAAAGAAUUCUUAAUGGACAGGACAGAUUCCAAGCCUCUUGGAUAAGACUGAAGCCCUCCAUCACAGCCCAUCAAUCCGUUUCCUGGAGUUCGGAACCACAGCCAUGUGCCUCAUCAGUGUAAGACUGAGUCUCAGCUCUCACUUCAAGGAGGACUCAAGACAAGCAAAAGAAGUAAACUUUUGCUGGGUGCAGUGGCUCACGCCUGUAAUCCCGGCACUUUGGGAGGCCAAGGUGGUGGAUUACUUGAGGUCAGCAGUUUGAGACCAGCCUGACCAACAUGAUGAAACGUUAUCUGUACUAAAAAUACAAAAAUUAGGCUGGGCGCCAUGGCUCAUCCCUGUAAUCCCAGCACUUUGGGAGACCGAGGUGGGUGGAUCACCUGAGGUCAGAAGUUUGAGACCAGCCUGGGCAACAGAAUGAAACCCCAUCUCUACUAAAAAUACAAAAAUAAACUGGGUGUGGUGGCA